CCUACGGGGGGCAGCAGUGAGGAAUAUUGGUCAAUGGUCGGGAGACUGAACCAGCCAAGCCGCGUGAGGGAUGAAGGUACAGAGUAUCGUAAACCUCUUUUGUCAGGGAACAAAGGCGGGGACGUGUCCCCGGAUGAGUGUACCUGAAGAAAAAGCAUCGGCUAACUCCGUGCCAGCAGCCGCGGUAAUACGGAGGAUGCGAGCGUUAUCCGGAUUUAUUGGGUUUAAAGGGUGCGCAGGCGGUCUGUUAAGUCAGCGGUCAAAGCCCGGGGCUCAACCCCGGCCCGCCGUUGAAACUGGCAGUCGCGAGUUGGAGAGAGGUAUGCGGAAUGCGCGGUGUAGCGGUGAAAUGCAUAGAUAUCGCGCAGAACUCCGAUUGCGAAGGCAGCAUGCCGGCUGCACACUGACGCUGAGGCACGAAAGCGUGGGUAUCGAACAGGAUUAGAUACCCUUGUAGUC
This 459-nucleotide ribosomal RNA is filed under the name uncultured bacterium. Its description in RNAcentral is "partial 16S ribosomal RNA". It matches the Rfam family "Bacterial small subunit ribosomal RNA", at positions 338 to 795 of the family's 1533-position model. The record is from RNAcentral.